CUCCUGCCUCCGCCUCUCGAGUAGCUGGGAUUACAGACAUUUGGAUACCUGGAGAGUCCACGUCCAUGAACACCCUCUGCAGGAUGUUGAGUUUCGUCUCAGCAGGCAGGUCACCCAGGGAUGUUCCGACCGCAUGUGCCAGCCUGCCUCCUGGAGCUGUGGCUCUGGUGUCAGGCUAGUUUUCCAGUCUCUGUUGUGCUGUUCACCCAGGGGCCAGUCUACACAGGAGUUGAGCUCACGCAGCCUUUGCUGUUUUCCCCAGGUCAGUGCCGUUCCUUUGGAGCUUUAGGGGUCUCUAACUCCUUUGCUGUGUCCUUUGAUUUAAAAGCCCAGGUUUUAGCCUCUCUGUGCUGAUCCCAUUCCUAUGACUAGGUCCAGCCUGGGGCCAAAGUGGAGCAGGGAUUUCCCUCACGCUCUUUGGACUAGAGCAGCCGUUUUCCAGUUCCUCUCGUCAGAGUGACGGGUUCUGUGGGAGUCGUGUCUGCAGGGCUGCAGCUUGCAGGAGUUUCUCUGCCCAGGAGGAGAGGGAAGGGGGCUUCUCUUGGAGAUUCUAAUGUUCAUCCCUAAUGUGUGGUUCUGAUAGACUACCCCAGACUAGGCUCAGCAGUGGACUAGGCCCAGCAACGGGAGGGGAGAACCCAGGAAAAACCCGUCACACCGGUCCUUGUUCCGGCUGUGGUCUGCCUGUUCUGUGUUACAUACGGGUGACUUGCUGUAGGACUGAGAUAGUUGCUCUGUUGGGUCCACAGUCACAACCCCUAGGAGAGACAGGGUGGAGGAGCCCGCGGGGACCUCUGUGGCCAGUUUAGUCAUCAGAGGUCACCCAAGACCCACUCUGAAUUCUCAUUUUGUGUUGCUGUGGACAUGGCUCAGAAAGGGGGCAACAAACAGUGCCCAUUUCCCAGCACCCAUGAACACAGCCCGGGUGCACUGCAGACACAGGCCUGGCAGAAACAGAUUACAAACGACUGCUUCACCCCUGCUGGAAGAGAGUCUCGCAGGGUGUGACAAACAGUUGUUCUAUGCCAAUAUGAACUGUUUUAAAUUAGGGGAUCAGUGUAAGGAACAAAACACUCCAUUAUGAACUGUCCGUGAACAUCAUUUAGCUCCCAAAGGCCUGUGUCAUUUUCAGCAUGAUUUCUUCCCUCUGCUGCCCUGGUGAGUGCUGAUAAUGUCCUCACAAUUCCAGACAUUAGCAAUCCACACCCGAUUUUCAGGGGCUGAAAGAUCAAAGUGUUCCUGUACUUGAAUACUAAGUACGUCUUCAGAAGAGCUGGUUUCUCUUUUUUUUUUUUUUUUUGAGACGGAGUCUCACUCUGUCGCC
This is a non-coding RNA of Macaca mulatta (Rhesus monkey), 1324 nucleotides long. The record is from RefSeq and is a predicted model, not a curated record. Lineage: Eukaryota; Metazoa; Chordata; Mammalia; Primates; Cercopithecidae.